Acinonyx jubatus (cheetah) is the source of this 18196-nucleotide long non-coding RNA. RefSeq lists it as uncharacterized. The record is from RefSeq and is a predicted model, not a curated record. NCBI's taxonomy places the organism in Eukaryota, Metazoa, Chordata, Mammalia, Carnivora, Felidae. The transcript is spliced from 3 exons.
GUAGGGCAGAGUUUCCUGCAAAGCCAGCCACGUUGCCUGGGGGAGCAAGGUCAACCUGGGGGCUCCUUGCUGAUCCGGCAAUGCCCUGCCACUAAUGGGCUAUGUUUGAGUCCCUGUUCCGCAAAACAAUGACCUUGGUUCCAGGGUAUACCUGGGCCCUGGGCUCUACAAGUCUGGCUGCCAUCUCUGCUUGGAUGCAGGAAGAUACUCAGAGUGGGCAGACCUCUGAAACGUCCUGAACAGGGCUGACCCAAGCAACCUCAGUCCGGGCCUCAGCUACAGGGAGGCCCUGAUGCCGGGGUGGGGAGAGGAGGGCUUGAAGGUGCCUCUCCCUCAACCUCUUGGACCAAGAGUGCUCCAUGGCAUGCCAGGGCACUGCGGAGCUGGCUAGCAGCCCCGGCUGCCGGCUCCUGCUCCCUUCUCCUCCCUCUUCUGGCUCUCCUCCCAUCCCCCUGACUGAAGAUGGUGACAAUGAUGAUGCUAACACACAGUGUUUAUUAUGUGCCGGGAAGUCUUCUAAGCACUUCACGUGUAAUUUUCUGGAGUAUCUGGAUACUCCCGGGCCCCUCCCCAGCAUAUCUCAAACAGACCCCUUUGAAAUCACUGGCUAACCUGGCAGGAUUAAUUCCACAUCAGGUGGAAGCCACAGAGUCUGGCUAAUCAAACCUCCAUCCGAGGAAGUGGGGGAACUGGGACAGGCACCAUCUGGGGUAAUGAAGCCAGGAUCCGCUUUGUGACCCAGCUCUGCCCCAGGGCCCCCCGCACUCCUGCCCCCUGUGCCGACAGCGGCCCUCUCCUAACUACACGUCUCUAGACCUGGCUAUUCUGGAACUGUCUCUCUUUUCUUGCCUGAAAAGAGUCCAGCUUUAUUCAGGGUCUCUAUCUCGAGGCAGAGUGACCUGGGGGAGAAGCUGGGGGCACCAAGCAGCCGGAGCCUGCCUCCAGGUCACCCGCACCAAGCAGCUGACGGGGUCUUGGGAAGAGACAAAACAGCUGCAGUGAAAUCCCUCCCUGUGCCGGUCUUGUGUCACCAGAGCAGGACGAAGAGUCCCAACAGCUGAGCUCUCCUCUGGUGCUCCCCAGCCUAAGAGUUUGCCCGCCUAGGACUCUCCAGCCCCAGAGGGUCCAGAAAACCAGAGCUAAAGGUAGGAACUAAAGAGAGGGGCCGGGGGAGGUGUCCAAAGCGCCUCGGUGUUCCCAUCUCCUUCGCGCACCCCAGAGGUUGGCAUCACACAUGCUGCGCUUUCUGCCCCUUUAGUGGCAUUCCCUCUGACCACCCAGAGACGAAGGGGCACCUGCCACGCCUGCCUGGUCCGCGGAACCGCCUCACGGACUAGGCGAAGGCGGGCAGGCACACCCACCCGGGCACACGCACGGGGGGCUCAGAGAAACACUUACAGCCCCUUCCUCCUUGCCAGGGGGGCUAGGCUUCGGCAGAGUUUUGUCCUCCUCUUUAACCUGAGGGAGCAGACAAAGAAGUCACUGGCAGGUCAGGGCGGGAAAGAGCAUUAAAAGCACCGGAGGAAAACAUCCGAGGGGCCCUCCCUCCCGAGCAGGCAGAGUUCCUGCGCAUUUGGGAGUACUGGGGUGAGGGACAUGAGCAACGGAUACCCUGCGCUGCGGUCAAAACUGUCCAGUGACAACUUCAAGAAUGAAUAGCGGGAUCAGGUACCCUUGCCGUCGGCCACCAGUCACGUGGCCCACUUGGGCGGUCUGAAGAGUGCCAUCAUGGCCUUGGUUACAGGGUGGACGGAAAGGUCCAGCUAACUCAACCCAUGCUCAACUGCAAGAGUCAUUCCCAGCUCAGGCGACAAGUGGUCUGAAUAAGAGGCUCCUGACCUAGUGACUAAGGAGGGAACAACCCCAGGGUAGGAGCCCUACUGGGCCAACGGGGGUAGAAUGGGUGGCCCUUACCAGGCUGGCUCCAACUUGCUUUCAGGUCCCUGUGAUCGCCCCUGGCCCAGAGCCUGAAUGCCUUCCCAGCCACACAGCUGAGCUUGGACUGGGGACAGGAAAUGGGGCAGAGGCAGGGAGGCCAGAUAUUUUGCCAACCUCAGACCCACAAAACUGCUAACCGUGCAGCUGAGGGAGGGAACCCCAAGGUUGGGGGCAGAAUUUAGAAGGAGAGAUGCCUGAGCUCUGGCUGUUCUGGCCAGGAGGUUGGGCUCAGCCCCGGAGCUAGAGGGCAGGAGCAGAGUUGGGAAAAGCUCAGACAAUGCCUCAUGGACUUCGUUUCUCUUCUUUCCCCAGUCACUUAGGACUAUGGGAAAAAGGCAGGUCUGUGAGCAGCUCUACCCGUCUUCAACAUGCCUUUCCUUCCGGGCACCGUGGGGUAAAAGCAUUGGAAGGAGUCCUCAAUUCCUGAUGGAAAAGAUCUUUAGAAACGUUUCCAGAAUCAUGUUAAUUGUCCCCCUGGGGGGAGGGGGAGUCUUUGGCUACUUUUGAGCUCUAAUUAGCAGUGCCUAGGGGCACUGACCCGCAUGAUGGCCGCUGAAGUUUUAAAGCUGCGACUUGUCUACCGAGCUAUUUUCAAUGGGCUGAAGCUUCAAAGUUAGCUCACACUGUUACGGACAGGGGGAAAAUGGCAAUUAUUCAUCAGAGUGCGCUCUACUACUUUAGAAAUUGGGACUGGAGCAGAUUAAAGGGAAGGGAGGGGCUGGUGGAGCGGGAAUGAGGGGGAGUGGGAGAGACUGGGUCUGCACCUGCUGCCCCCACCCCCGGUGCCUAUCGCUCACACCACCCCACACCCCCAAGGUCACACCAUGCAUUAGCUCCUGGGCACACAGGUUAGAGGAGCAGCCAGUGUUCACAAACCACACAGACAAGCUCAUUACUGCACGCGGUGCUAUUAGCUUGGGCUCAGGGAUGGCCCAGAUUCCGAGUCCACUCCGUGUCCUCCACCGGCUCCAAUUCUGUCCUCCCUCCAGUGAUGCGAGCUUAGGACCCCAAGUGUCCCGCCCAAGUGGUGAGGCACUGGGGGAAACACUGGCCGCCCCCCGAAAGGUCUGGGACACUAGGCCCAGCUCUGAGCUCAGCUCUGGAUUUAGCCUGAGGCUGACUCACGGCCUCCCCCACUGCCCCCCCAACCAAGGGCUCUGUCUGUUACAGGUCAUUGCCCAGCUGGGGACUGUGCACAGCACAAAGGCACGCCCAGGUCGGCAGCCUGAAUCACCCUCUGGAACCCAGGCAGCCAACUGGCCUGGCUCCCAACCCUUGGCUCCUUUCCUUCUACCCACCACAGUCCCCAGACCAGGGGGGACCCAGUUCCAGAAGCCUCAGAACCAACGCCAUCCCUCGCGGCCCCCCACAGCGGCCCACGUUCCCAGCGGUCUGCACCCUAGGAGUCUGGGUAAAGAGAGGCACUCAAGCCCUUAACUCAGUGAACCGAAGUUACGGGCCUGUGAGGGCAUUAACAAAGCUUCCCCAGGACUGCAGCAACUUUGGCUUUCUACCUGCAACACGCCAUCACCAGCCUGGAGGAAGGGGACCUGGAGAAUUCCAAAGCCACUUCACCUAUGGGUGAGAAAUUAGGACUGGUCCUCUUGAGAAUCAACAGGCAGAAUCUGCCUCAGCCCAGAGAGAGGCUUCGUUCAAAGAAUCCGUUCAGUUCAGUGGAGUUCAAGAACUUGUUUGUUCUUAUUACUGCUCAUCAUGAAUUAACAGUGAAAAAUUGGAGAAUUUUUUGUUUUCAGUUAAUUAUUUUUAUUUAUAUUCUUUAUUAUUUUUAUUUUAAGUUUAUUUAUUUCGAGAGAGACAGAGACAGAGAGACAGGGAGAGGGAGAAUGUGAGCAGGGAGGGGCAGAGAGAGAGGGAGAGGGAGAAUCCCAAGCAGACUCCUCACUGUGAGCACAGAGCCAGAAGCAAGGCUCAAUCCCAGAAACUGUGAGAUCAUGACCUGAGCCAAGAUUAGGAGUCGGAUGCCCAGCCAACUGAGCCACCCAGGCGCCCCACAAUUAUUUUUAACUUGCUUUGUCGACUUGUCUCUUUUACUAUCCAGUUCAUAUGCUAGCUGUGAAGUUUGUUUAAUUAUUUAAUUCAUUUGUUCUUUGCUCUCCUGCUCAAGUUUUUCUAUGUGUGCAGGGGGAAGUCCACUCAUCCCAGGCUGUGAGGACACCAGUCCAUUCACGCCCGGGCCUGUUCCUCUGUAUCAGCUCUUCCUUAGAAAUAUCACUCUAGGCACAAAGAUGGGGUUCUCCGCAGAUGAAAUUCUCUCUGUGGCUUUUGUAAGGAACUGCCUGAAUAUUUCUCCUUCCUUCCUUAUCACUGGAUUUUAAAGAUUUUAAAGAUUUGCUUAGAAUCCAAAAAACCUGUCUUUAACCAAUACAUAACAGAUGAGGAACUCAGCCCCAAAGACGGAGGCAAUGUCUCCAUGACGGUCACUGCCAGAGGUUGGAACAAACCCUGACCUGCUCCCUCGUGGGACUUCAGCCAUUUCUUUUGUUUUGUUUUUUUUUUUUUAAUUUUUUUUUUUUUUUUUAAUGUUUACUUUUGAGAGAGAGACAGAGUGCAAGCAGGGCAGGGGCAGGAGAGAGGGAGACACAGAAUCCAAAGUAGGCUCCAGAGUCUGAGCUGUCAGCACAGGGCUGGACGCGGGGCUUGAACUCACAAACCGCGAGAUCAUGACUCAAGCCGAAGUCAGACGCUUAAUCAACGGAGACACCCAGGCGCCCCGAACUGCAGCCAUUUCUGACAACAUCAUUAAUUACUGAAUAUGGAACACCUACCCUAAUGAGAUAGGCCCUGUAAAAGUAUUUAACACAUUUUAAAAAAAUGUUUAUUUAUUUUUGAGAGAGAGCACAAGUGCGGGAGGGGCAGAGAAAGAAAGACACAGGAUUCUAAGCAGGCUCUGCCUAUCAGCAGAGAGGCCAACACUGGGCUUGAAUCCACAAACCAUGAGAUCGUGCCCUGAGCCAAAAGUUGGAUGCUCAACCGACUGAGCCACCCAGGUGCCCCUUUAACACAUAUUUUUACUCUUAUUUAUUUUAAGGUUUAUUUAUUUUAUUUUGAGAGAGAGAGAGAGGGAGAGAGCACGUGGGAAGAGCAGAGAAAGAGGGAAAGAGAGAGAACACCAAGCAGGUCCCACGCUGUCACUGUAGAGCCCGAUACAAGGCUUAAACCUGCCUUGUGUUUAAGAGAUCGUGACCCAAGCCGAAACCGAGUCAGACACUUUAACUGACUGAGGCACCCGGGAACCCAAAUGUAUUUUUAAAUAUAAGUCUUACAACAGCCUCAUGACAUCAGUCUCAUUUUACUAAUGAGGAAGAAGACUCAGAAUGAGAUUAAGUCACAAAGCCAUUCAGUGGUGGAGCUGAGAUUUGAACCCAAGGUGCUCCGAGUGCAAGGCCCAUGCUGCUCCCUGAGAGGCCCACCUUUGGCCCUGGCUUAGGCAGGAUCUGAGGGGCUGAGUCAUCCUGGUGUAUGUACUGUGUCGGUGUCAGUGUUCAGGAGGUCUGGAUCAAGCUAAAGCAUGGAUGGACAGGGAGGGCACUAGUGUUCCAGGUGCCCAAACAGAGUUUCUAGACUUGCAAAGGGAGACCCCAGCCACGAUCCUGCCCCUCUGAGGCUCUGACCACCUCCCCGACUACUCUCUCUGGCACUUCUGGCUUCUUCCGUUGAGGGAAGGGAAGAGAAACCAAUGCUCACGGAAUACUUGCUAGGAGCCAGGCACGGUGGCAGUUGCUUCAUACUGUCUCCUUAUUUAAUCCUCUCAACAGCCCACUUUUUGGAUAAGGAAAUAGAGAGGGUAAGUACCUGGCUGAGGACCCCAAAGUCAGUAAGUGGCGGCCCUGGGAUUCACAAGCAGGUUGUGCGCCUACAACGUUCCCUGGACUGUGGUUUCUUCGCGGAUGCAAACUCUAUUCUACCCAUCAUACUGUGGGUGCUUAAUAAAUAAAUGUUGGCUGCACGGCAGUCCUGCAACGGGGGAUCUUUGGCCAACUUCUUGUUCCCAUCUGGUUUCUCCCCUCAACUGUAAACUAUGGAGAAUAACACUUGCCAAUCCUGAUUCCCAGGGACGAGGGCAAAACAAGAGAGGUAAAAUCUCUAAACUGAGCAACAAUUAAUAGAUCGUGUACACUCAAUGCCGUGGGGUGGGAGGGGAGGGCAGGGGCACUCUGAAAUUGCUUAGUAGCUCUUUGGCAAGCAACAACAGCCAUAAAAUGCAUCAUCCUCUGGCCCUAGCCACCCCAUCUAAGGAAGGUAUAAGCAAUAAGUCGAUUUAAAGAAAGGAAGAGAAAGAAAAAACACCCACAAACCCAUGCAGAGACUUUUAAAGAAGCACUCUGUAUACCAGCCCCCAGUUGGCAAUAACUCAAAUGCCCAGAGUUAGGGAAGGGUUGGCUAAACUACGAUACUUAGGUACAAUGCGCCAUUAUGUUGCCUCUUAAACUAACAAAUACAUGAUCAAUGUGACCACAGGGAAAACUCCAUCUAAAAUAAUAUCAAUCAAAGCAACUAGAACCUAAAUAGUAUGCAAACAGUCAUCAUCACAGUCUUGCAAAUUAGACACAAUGGAGACAUUUGGUAUUUAUUCUGUUAUGUAUUUGUUACUUACUGUUUAUUUCUAUUGUAAAGAUGGCUAAAUAGUCAAUAAAAAAGAAAAAGCAGAGGAGAUAAUAGCUGAAAGCAUUUUUGUCAAAGAGGAGAAAUCCAAGAGAUGUGCUGAGGGACCCAUCUAUGCUCAGCCUGGGAAGGCUUCCAACACUCAGGGGGCUGGACCAGGCUGCAUUUUACCCUCUGCAUGGACCUGCGAAGGCCAUCAGCCCUUAACUUACCACCCUCUGUGCCCCUCACAGGGAGGAAUGGGGGCACAAAUGCCCCCAGGAGAAUCUUUCCACCUCCGCCCAGGCUCCCCACAGGCAUGUAAUACCCAGCCUGGGAAAACACAUCGAGGCCAAGUGUCCAUGCAGAUAUCCCCACACUGGGAGCCCCCAAGGGCAGUGGGAAGAGAAAGAGGAGAUCCCGCUGUCUGUGACCCAGGGAACUUGCACAUUUGGAGAAGAAAGAGGCAUGGCAUCCUCCUCUGUCUCCUUUCCCACUCUGAGGAGCAAAGAGUAGCUCUCCGGAGACGCUCUCGCUACCAAUCCCACCCUAGCACCUACUUAUCUAAGAACGAGAGGGAGGAUGAGGGCAUGGGGAAGAAAGAACAGUAGUAAGAGUAAUAACAGUUAACCUUUACUGAGCAUGUACUAAGUGCCAGGUACCGUGCUGAAUCCUUUUCAUGCACUAUCUCAUUUGACCCCUACAGUAUUCCUCUGAAGUAGACAGUAGUAUCAUUCUUACUUUACAGAUGAGCAAAAGGAAGCUCAGAAAUGACACGGCCAAGGCCUCAUGGCAGCGAGUCGCAGAUCAGAACUCACAGCCAGGUCCGUCCUCCAGCAAGAACCUCCCAGGCUCACUUUAAGGAAUGGAAGCAAGCCCUGCCCCCACCUCCCUUGAUUCACCUGCAUCGUUGAGCUUCCGUGACAUCAUCUGCCGGAAUAACUGCUGGGGUAGAAAGCAGGGGCUUCCAGAGAUGACCUGCCCUUCCACUAUGACCCAAACAAGCUUUGCACAGAGCUGCUUGAGAGGAGCGAGGCCCCUCUGGGGAGUGGCCUGAAGGCCAUGCUGCCAGCCAAAGGAGGAGGGGGAGAAGAACUUGGCAGGGACACCCUGGCCCCUUUGGUCCAGCCUCCAGCGAGAGCCCUCCCCCACCCCAGGGAGGAACAGAAAGCAGCCGAGCGCCUGCAGUCACUACCGGCCAGCCCGGAGGAAGCAGGUGCACUGGAAUGGCUUCCUGCUGCCACUGCAGUUGCAGAAGGGCCCGGGUUUCCUCCUCCAACGGCCGGACCUGCUGGAGGCCUCCCUUCCCUGGGGACACUCGCUGCCCCUCUGCGGAGCCUUUUGCUGUCUGUCUCACCAUCGUCACACACGGCCCCAGAUCUUCAACAUGGUGCUGGUGGCCUGGGGACCCAGGCUGGGGUGGUGUGGGGAGGAAGCUAGGGCAGGAAGCACCCACCUCUCAGGGUGAGGAGUCGCUGUGGCCCCACCCCAGCUACCCACACACACCUCAGCACUGGUACCAGUUGUGUGGCUGGGGCGAGGCAGUCCUUGGGCACAGGGAGAUACGAAUGCCCAUGGGCACAUGGCUCUGGGCCCACCACCGCACUGGGCCAGCCCACACACUGCCAACUGCUGACACGACUAAAAACCUGACCCUUGGUGGCCGGGAGGGGUGGCGCUGGGGGAACGGAACGACUGGGAGGCAGCUAUGUCUGCCUCACUGGCUUUUUUAAGGAACUUACUCUUCUGGAGUAAUCUCUGCUUGAAAGAGACCUACAGACAGUCAGGGCAUCCCCGAGAUGCCAUCUGCGCCCCUUCCAAGUGUCCGAUCCACAGAAAUGCAGAAGGCCACGCUGAGUCCACUGGUGGCCGUCCGGACAACUCCAAGAACCACCCCUCUCCAGCACCUUUCUCUUGUCCACCAGGAGGAAGAAGGGUGGAAGGUUAAGCUGGCAACACAAAGCAGGGAACAAGACUUCCCAGUGUCUAGAAGGCCCCUCCCGUCCGGAGCUGCCCAACCCUGGCCGGUUGGCUGUCGUUGGUUGGAAGGACUGAGUGGCCACCAGGACUGCAGGUACCAGGUAUGCUGGGAUGGAGAGGGUGAUACAGUGUGGGGAAGGGGCAGAGGAGGUGAUUAGAGUGAGGGCACAGGUAGGGGGCAGGCAGUGUUGGAGGGUUAGGGGCAAGGGACAGGGAGGGUGGGACUUUCCUACUGACACACACCCGGCUCCCGGACAGCUGAGCUGAUAUGGCCCCUAAAAAUAGCAGAGGAAUUUGAGACCUGCAGCCCCCGGCCCCACAGGCCAGGAAUGAGACAAGCACAUUUGCGUACCCACACACACACACACACACACACACACACACACACACACUCACUCACUCACCAUCAUGCAUGAACACUCAAUCACAGCACAGUGUUCUUGAGAACACACAAAUCAUAGGCUCACCCCAGCCAUCUAAUUACUGCAGCGGAGGCCAAGAAAACCACUAACGUCAUAUCCAAUCCAACACACAGGGCCUGCUGCACACUGUGCCCCAACAGCAGCCACGCAGCCAUCCUGUAAAGUCCUGCAGGAGUAGAGACCCAUGCGAUCAGUCUGAGGCCCACUGUCGCUGCCUGGCUGUAAAUACACUGGGGACUGAGUGCAGGAACCAACUGCACUCUCUGUGUGCACAUCCCUCACCCCACACAGCCAGAGACUGCGCAGGCACGGAGGAGGGUGUGGUGGGUGGGCCUUAGCCCUGCAGGCAGAGGAAAUCGUGGGUGUCUGGCCAAUGAGCAAGGGCUGCCGGUGAAAAGCCAGGGCUCCUCGUGAAGAGGGACUCUGGCCCUGGUCUUUGGUUAGUGCCACAGGAUGCCCAGACCAGGGCUGGGAACUUCCAAGAGGCUGAAAUGGGAGCUGGGGGCCGUUCAGAAGGAGCCAAUGACAGGCCUUUUGAAGCUGUCAGCUCUGUAGAAAAAAGGAAGCUUGUCUCCAGGAAAAAAAAAAAAAAAGGGUGGGGUGGGGUGGGGGUGCUGGGAAGGUCUGGAACAGAGCCAUCACCUAACCAGUGUCCAACCAGAGUGGCUGGAGACCCCAGGCCUGCCACCCCGGCCAGUCUCGUGUGCCCAGUGGGUCCUGUAAACAGCAUGGCUUUCUCUGUGCAAAGGUUGGUGAGCACCGCCCGGGAGGACAAAAGCCUGCUCUGCCUCCUCCCUGUCACACACUGUACAAGCGGAGUCACCCACGGCCAUGAGGGCGUGGGGCCGGUGCCUCUGCUUUCUAGGGACUGCUUGCUGUGUCUUCCCAGGGAGAUCAUCUGGCCCUAUUGGGGCAUGUGCUGUGUUAGAGAUCUUCACAUCCCCUAGGCUUUCUUGACAUAUUGGUGCCAACUGGGGCUGCAGACUGAAAUCCCCUGUGGGACUCUGAGACUAUCGAUGCCUGAAUCCCACCCUUUCCUCCUACUUUCUGAUUUAAUCGGCCCGGGAGGGAGGCCUGGACACUAGGAUUUUUAAAAGUUCCCCCAAGUGAUUCUUACAUGCAGCUGAGGCUGAGAACUGCUCAAUCUGAAAGCAGCAUAAGGCCUGAUGCAGAGGUUCCCUGUCGUUCAAUCACUGAGUGCGUGGGAGUGGCUGGGUGGCUCGGGGGCUUGAGCGUCCAACUGCAGCUCAGGCCAUCUCUCAGUUCGUGAGUUCGAGCCCCACGUCAGGCUUGCUGCUGUCAGCACAGAACCCGCUUCAGAUCCUUGGUCCCCCUCUCUCUCCACCCCUCCCCUGCUUGUGCUUGCCCUCAAAAAUAAAAUAAACAUGUAAAAACAUCACCGAGGGCGUAAAUGGAUGAAUGAAUGAACAACUUAGCUGUGUGACCACAGCCAAGUGACUUCCAAGGCCCUCACCUGCAAAACAAAGGUUCUGCCCACAGUGACUCUUUUGCAUAGUCAGUUGGAGACUGGGGAAGUCUCAGUGAAUGAAAGGGUUUGUCUCUCAGGGUGCCUCAGUUGGUUAAGCAUCCGACUUCAUUUGGCUCAGGUCAUGAUCUCAUGGUUCGUGGGUUCAAGCCCUAUGUCGGGCUCUGAGCCUGGAGCCUUCUUUGGAUUCUGUUUCCCCCUCUCUCUCUGCCCCUCCCCCACUCAUACUCUGUCUCCCUUUCUCUCAAAAGUAAAUAAAAAUAUAAAAAUAAAGAAGGGGUUGUUUCUCAAAGUGUGGUCCCCAGACCAGCGGCAUCAGCAUCACCUAGGAACUUGUUAGAUAUGUAAAUUUUUGGGCCCUGCUCAAGACCUACUGAAUCAAAAACUCUGGAUAUGUGGCCCAGCACUUGUGUUUUAACCAGCCCUCCAGGUGAUUCUGAGAAGCACUGUUUUAAAGGAAUUAUUCAUGGGGCGCCUGGGUGGCUCACUCAGGUAAGCGUCCGACUUCAGCUCAGGACACGAUCUCACGGUUCAUGGGUUUGAGCCCUGCGUCAGGCUCUAUGCUGACAGCAUGGAGCCUACUUUGGAUUCUGUGUCUCCCUCUUUCUCUGCCCCUCCCCUGCUCACAGUCUCUCUCAAAAAUAAGCAUUAAAAGAAAUAAUAAUAUGGGAAUGCAAGCUGGUGCAGCCACUCUGGAAAACAGUAUGGAGGUGCCUCAAAAAACUAAAAAUAGAACUACCCUACGACCCAGCAAUUGCACUACUAGGCAUUUAUCCACAGGAUACAGGUGUGCUGUUUCGAAGGGACACAUGCACCCCCAUGUUUAUAGCAGCACUAUCAACAAUAGCCAAAGUAUGGAAAGAGCCCAAAUGUCCAUCGAUGGAUGAAUGGAUGAAGAAGACAUGGUAUAUAUAUACAAUGGAGUAUUACUCGGCAAUCAAGAAGAAUGAAAUCUUGCCAUUUGCAACUACGUGGAUGGAACUGGAGGGUAUUAUGCUCAGUGAAAUCAGCCAGUCGAGAAAGACAAAAAUCACAUGACUUCACUCAUACGAGGACUUUAAGAGACAAAACAGAUGAACAUAAGGGAAGGGACACAAAAAUAAUAUAAAAACAGGGAGGGGGACAAAACAGAAGAGACUCAUAGAUAUGGAGAACAAACUGAGGGUUACGGGAGGGGUUGUGGGAGGGGGGAUGGGCUAAAUGGGGAAGGGGCACUAAGGAAUCUACUCCUGCAAUCAUUGUUGCACUAUAUGCUAACUAAUUUGGAUAUAAAUUUCAAAAAUAAAAAAUAAAAUUAAAAUAAAAAAUGAAAUAAAAUAAAAUAAAAUAAUAAUAAUAAAAAUAAAGGAAUUCUUCAUGGUGUACCAUGGUCAAUAGUGAGACUUCCAGAGCCAGCCUGCCUGGUUCAAUCUUGGCUUGUCCAUCUGGUGAGCUAUACAAUUUAACCCUGUGCUUUGAUUUCUUCACCUGUACAAGGAGGGAAAAUAAUUGUACCUACCACACAGGGUUAUUGUAGGCGUUAAGUGAGUUACUGCUUGCAAAGCUCUAGGAACAGUGUCUAACACAUAAGUUUUAAAUAAACUUAUUGAAAAAAAAGUUUGCAAUAGUUUUAACUAUUGUUCUCUAUCUGUGAUCACUAGCAGGGAGAAAAGAAAAGCAUCCCAAGCAAAAUUUCCAGGUGACUGAUGACUAUUCCCUUUAAGGCACAAAAUGCUUUCUAUUUUGAGUAGUUUCCUAAAUUCUACUGCUAUCUGUAAUCAUACAAAUACACAUUUUAUAGAUUCUUAAGAAUAACACUCUGAACCCAUCUCAAACAUCUCAAACUCUGAGCUCCCUCUCUUGAACCCAAUCUGUUUCCAUUCUGUACAGAAGGGCACAUCAUCCCCACUGUGAUGACUCUUGACUUCCCGGCUGGGCUCCUGUCCUACCAAUGUCCCUGGCCACUCUCAAAGGGCACCAACCCUGUCCUGGGUACAGCAGUCAGCCUGCGGCCUCGCUCCGCACCCAUGUUAGGAAGGCCAGAUGCCCUUUGUGUCCAUAUACUUGCUUUUUAGUUCUUUUGUCCCUUACCCUGUCAGGCCAUCAGCUGUCACUCUGCCUGUCAGCAUGCCUGUCCCCAACAGUCUCACUUCCUUCUAACAAGCAGUUUCUGCCAAAGACUAGAAAACUAGAUAACCAUGCCUGAUACGAAAGAGCCCAGAGCAGAGCAAACGGAAUACCAGAGACCACUCUCCUGUGAGGGAAGGUCUGAGUUUUCCCACGCAUUCUAGAGGGUCUUCUAGGCCCACCUUCCAUUCAGCAACACUCUGGAAGAUGACUUCUGGGAGACUGAGGUGUCACUUUACCCUCAGAGUCUUGUUCUGAAUUGUUAGAAACCACGUGUUGAUCACUCCUCUUUUCUGCUCGGAUGACCAGAUGCUGUCAGUUCUGUCUGUGAGCUGACUCGUGUUACUGAUGGAGAUCAUCUCGGAGCAGGGACAAGGGCAGACCUCUUCAGAGGGAAUCCUGAGGCCCUGGCAACCCAUUCAGCUUCACACACAGCCACAACCAGUCUCUCUGAUGCCCAAAGGUCAGUGCUGCCUCCCGGCCUGGCCCACUCUGCAUAAGCCUACCCUAUGACUCCAGGGGGCCACACAGUCACUCCCACAGCCAGCCAGCCGACCCCAGACCCCUUGGCCUGCCUCCUUCCCCUUUCUCCCUCUCCCCAGCACUCCUUGCUCUCACUCUCUUAGGCAGAUCUUCCCAGGGUCCCCUGCCUUCAUCACCACCAGAGCAUUUACUUGUAAAUGCCUUUCUACCUUGCCGAACCCUCCCAUCUGUCAAGGUCCAUCUUGAGUCUCACCUCCUUCAUAAAGCCCUCCCCAGACCCCAAGGCCUGCAUGGUAACACUGUGCAAAGAGCACACACUUCCAGCCAGGCACGCCUAGGGGUGCUGAAUCCCAGCUCGACCUCUUUCUCACUGUCUGACUAAGGGAAAGUGAAACUCAGCUUCUUAGAGUUUCCACUUUUUUGCCUUAGAAUAUACCUCCCUUAUGGGGUUGCUUUGAGAAUUAGAAAAAAAAAAUAGGGGCACCUAGGUGGCUCAGUCAGUUAAGCGUCUGACCUCAGCUAAGGUCAUGAUCUCAUGGUUGACGUGUUCGAGCCCUGCAUCGGGCUCUGUGCUGACAGCUCGGAGCCUGGAGCCUGCUUCAGAUUCUGUGUCUCCCUCUCUGUCUGCUCCUCCCCCACUCAUACUCUGUCUCUCAAAAAAUAAACAUUAAAAAAAAGUUAAAAAAAAUAGUAGGGGCGCCUGGGUGGCUCAGUUGGUUAAGCAUCUGACUUCAGCUCAGGUCAUGAUCUCAUCAUUCAUCAGUUCAAGCCCUGCAUCAGGCUCUCUGCUGACAGCGUGCAGCCUGCUUCGGCUCCUCCAUCCCCCUCUCUCUCUGCCCCUCCCCCUCCUCAAAAAUAAACAAACAUUAAAAAAAAAGUACAUAUAAAUCACCUGGCAUUGUGCCUGGCAAAUUGCAGGCAGUGAUUAAAUUAUUUUCAAAACCACAGUACUGUCUACACCUAAAUAUCACCAUGUACAUAGGGUGGUUCUUCAAUCUACUCAAUAUGGUGCUCUGCGAGAUACAAUGGAACCUACAUAGAUACUACAGGGGUUAGAUUCUAAAGCCAGCCUGUAAGGCAAACAUAGAAGAUAGUCAGAAGUACUCUUGAAAUUCCCAAAGUAUAGUACACAUGGUUUUGUAUAUGCAGGAAAACAGAUACAUGCACAGCCUAUGACAAAAAGAAAUACACAAAAUACAUGUUUCCAUUUUAGACUACAGUCAGCACAGAGCUGAGCUGUCAACACAGAGCCUGAUGCAGGGCUCGAACUCACCAACUGUGAGAUCAUGACCUGAGCUGAAGUUGGAUGCUUAACCGACUGAGCCACCCAGGCACCCCUGGAAUUUACUAAAGUUUAAUGUGUAUAUGCCACAACUACACAGCGUAAACUAAUAUUUUGAAUGGUAAUCUAUCUGUGGUUAUGGUUCAGUUUUCUCUCCCUGGACGGCAGGGACCGUUUCCUCCUUCUUUUUAGAUCUCCUGCCUGCACUAGGCACACAGUAGGUGUUCGAUAAGUAUCCACUGGAUUUAACUCACUGACGUGAAAGGUGCUGGUGAAAUACACCUCGUAGAACACAAUAGGGAAAAAAGGGAUAUCCAGAUAGAGUAACAACUUCAAGGACUCUGCUCUCCGUGUGGGGUGAGUGAAAGGUCCUUGGCUCUGUUACUGGUGCUGGGCCAGGCGCAGAGCAGUGGGAGCAGGGGUGGGGGGACCAGGCUACCCAGGAGGCUCUGAGGAGCAAAGGAAGCCAUUCAGGCUUUCAACUAGCAAUUACUUGUAAUACCUCAAGGUGAACACUGUGGGGAAGCACGAUGCCUGCUUCUUUUUCUGUCUCUUCACAGCUAGACUGUGAGCUUCCUAAGGCAGAGGUGAUAUGUGUGUUGUUCAUUGUUAGGUCCCUUGCACCUACCUAGUGCUUGGUACAUAACUGAGCGAGUGAUUGCAACAAGAGAAAGCAGACAUGGUUCCUGACCUCAACAAACAUACAGACCAGAAGAAGAGAUAACAAAUGUACCCAAACAAUUAUAAUUCAAUCUAGAAUCUGCUCAACGCUCCAACAGGACCGUGGAUAAUGUUCUAGGAAAAUUCAGAGGCAGAGACCUUUUCCUGUUGGGGAGUUAGGCAGACAGCUUAGGGGCAGCUUGGGGCUGGGCCGUGAAAGAUAGAAGAAAAUCUGUAAUGUGGAGGUGAGGGAGGAAGAGAAUUUCAGGGUAAAGGAGUAGAAUAAGAGAAGGCAAGGAGUUGGGAAAACAGACAGUAAGUUUGGAUGAAGUGUAGGACACACGUAGGUAAACGAUGAGAGACAAAGCUGGAAAGGUAGGUGAGGCCAGAUCAAGAAGCCCCAUCUGCCACAGUAGACAGGCAUUCUUUCAGCUGCCCACUGUCCACUCCUCCAACCUCUGAAUACAGCACCCUAAUUUUCCCUUGGGGACCUACCCUAGCAUAUGACUUGAGUCUGGCCGAUGAGUGUAUCAUGUCCCCAGACUAUAGGGAUGGGUUUGUGGAAGGCAUGUGAACCCAAUUAGUAUCAAGGACAUAUCACGAAAGUUUGGGAUUAUUGAGUCACACACUUCUUUUCCCACAAGACCUGAACCUGGUGCUGUGCCAUUUUGUCACCACUUGUCUGAGGCGGAGCCAGUAUGGAAGAUGAACUCAGAGACAGAAAAGGCCUGGGUCCUGUUUCAGUCUCUAGGUAAGACUGAGCCUAUAGCUAGUUCUACCCCCUGCAUAUUUCAGAUGUUUGAGCCCAUGCAUUUCUUCAUUUUAAACCAGGUCAGCUGGGCUCUGUCACUUGCAACUCAAAGGGCUGUACCUGAGGAAAAAAGUAAGGUAAGCGGCAUAAAGACAAAGCAGACACAUACUGAGCACUAGCCAUGAGUCAGGGACAGUGUUACUCGUUUUCUUCACAAAACACUGGGAGGUGAGUUUCUUCACAAAACUUUUGCCCAUGCAAAAGAGGAACUGCAGGCUGGGAAAGCAAGGCUUACAGCGGUUAAAUAACUUGCCCCAAACCACACAGAUAGUGAUUGGUAAGGCCGGGGUGAGCCAUUCCGACUCCAGAGCCAGCUCCUUGCACUCUGUCUCCUGCCUGGAAAACAGUAGGAGUCACAGCAGGUUUCUGGAGAGAGAAGGGGCAUGAUCAAACUGUGUUUUACGAAUGCUGAUCUAACAGAAGGAUGCUGGGAAGCAAAGGAGGCUGAAAGCUGAAAGACCAUUGGAAGUCAAGGUGAGGGCCAGAAGAAAGAUGGGCAGAGGGUUGCCCUGUUCUGGCAGUGGAUGGGGAAGAGAGGGUGAUUCGAGACAGAGACUUGGUGGCUACCGGGGAGGAUGGGAAAUGGGCACGAAGUUGACGGGAGGGGUUGCGAAGAAGAUCUAAAGCCUCCAAGGUUUCAAGCUGUCAAGAUUUCAAAAGAACAGCGUGAAGCCACUGUCCAAAACAGGAAUGUCUGAUGGAGGCUGAUUUAGAGGGAGAUCGCUUGAAAAACACUGGGCCUGAGGUUCUAUUUAACACCCUAAAAUAAUACUCAUCUGACCCUAUUUGCCUCUCUAGUUCUUUAAACCAAAACUCCCGGGGUGCCUGGGUGGCUCAGUCGGUAAGGCGUCUGACUUCCGCUCAGGUCAUGGUCCUGUGGUUUGUGAGUUUGAGCCCCGCAUCGGGCUCUGUGCUGACCGCUCAGAGACUGGAGCCUGCUUCGGAUUCUGUGUCUUCCCCUCUCUCUGCCCCUCCCAUGCUCAUGCUCUGUCUCUGUCUCUCAAUAAUAAAUAAAUGUUAAAGAAAACAAAUUAAAAAAAAAAAAACUCCUUUUAAAAAAAAGUCUAUAAACCCUAUCUCCAAGUAGAUAGUUAUCACGUAGUGCUUGUAUUAUUACUAAUUUGCAAGGUAUAAAAUGUCAUUAAUAGAACUUAUUUAGCCCCCUCAGUUAGGGGGCAUGCACGUUUCAAGCACUCAGCCCUUAGAGCUGGAGGGGACCAGCCUCCUGAGGGAGGAGGGCUCCCCAUCACUCCAGGGGCACCCCAGAGAGCAGUUUCAGAGUUCCUCAGCACCAGUGCCUUCUCUCUCCUGGAAAGGAUGAUCUUUUAUUUUUACAGUGUGUGUGUGUGUGUGUGUGUGUGUGUGUGUGUAACAAAUGGCUUCUCUUUUAUGAAAUAACAGUGUUGGUAGGCAGUGCCUGGUAGUCUCUGAAGUACGAAUUUUUUUUGAAAUUUUACUGGACGUCAAUGAUGAGUGGAUCCCAAAGUGGAAGAGGACAGAACCCCUUUAAGAACAGGGAUGGCCACAGGGACGGCAAGGAGCGCUGAGAAGUGUAACCUGAAGUGGGGAAAGGUGCAGGGCUGGGCCCAGACACUGCUGCCCUCCAGGUGGUCGUGGCUGGUGGAAGCCCCAGGCCCCUGCCACACUGGGCCCGCGCUUCCCGGCCCAGCCCAGCCGCCGGCAGACGCAGGGGCGGAGCCGGGGGAGGGGCCAGGCCCCGUACCAGUGCACAUGCGCACAUGCAUCCAGAGCACCGGGACGCACCCGCCCUGCAGCGCCUCCAGAGACCGGCAGAGGGCGGCCUCCCCCUUCUCGCCAGCCCUGGCUGCCGAAGACGCGGGAUUUCAACGCCGCAAGGCUGGCGUCCAGGCCACGCCCCCAAGAGGCGUCCCCCGGGAGCUCAAGACAGAGGGGGCUGCCGCGGCAAGAUGGCCUCUCGCUUUAUCCUGGAGGGAUAAGGCAAGAAGGGGCAGUGAUGAGCUCAGCGCCGCCUUUGUUUUAAUCGUCGCUCCAUUCCCCAAACCCAAAACAGCCCUGCAAAUAGUAGGCACUCAAUAAAUGCUUAUUGCUGAAAUAAAAUGGAUGAAUGGAUGAAUACAUGAAUAAACAGAAGACUUCCAGGGAAGCUUUAAACAUGUGUGCGGGGGAGUGGUCUGAGACUAGCAGUCUAGGAAAUUCCGGGGAGGUGGGGGCAGCCCCAGAUCACUACCCUCACUACCACUUGCGCUUCGGGCUUGGCAGUCCCCUAGGCCCUGCCUUAGCCCACCCAAAGGUUUGCUCAGAGCCUGGUGACACCACACCAUCUCAAGGGCACAGAGCCCAAGUGGUGACGUCUGGGCUUGUCCUCUCUGCUAAGACUAGGAGUCUGUCCCCUCAGAGUCAGAUCCUGGCUGCCUGCAGGGACCACUCCAGUAGGUCUGCUGCUC